UACAGAGGGUGCAAGCGUUAAUCGGAAUUACUGGGCGUAAAGCGAGCGUAGGUGGCUUGAUAAGUCAGAUGUGAAAGCCCCGGGCUUAACCUGGGAACGGCAUCUGAUACUGUUAGGCUAGAGUAGGUGAGAGGAAGGUAGAAUUCCAGGUGUAGCGGUGAAAUGCGUAGAGAUCUGGAGGAAUACCGAUGGCGAAGGCAGCCUUCUGGCAUCAUACUGACACUGAGGUGCGAAAGCGUGGGGAGCAAACAGG
Molecule: ribosomal RNA, 253 nt
Filed under: uncultured bacterium
Lineage: Bacteria
Description: partial 16S ribosomal RNA
Rfam family: Bacterial small subunit ribosomal RNA
Source: RNAcentral